AUUUAUGACAGCCUCAGUUCAGUAAGUGUAAAGUGUAUGCACUUUAUUAUUGGUCACAACAGGAGAGAUUUUUUUUUUAAUGAAUGACAGUUCAGUUGCCUUCUGUCAGGAUGAAUGUCCCAGUGGCCACAAGCUGCACCUUCACUUCCUGAAUGCCAUGUUUCAGUGGUACUUCCUGCGGCGGUCAUGCUCUCUGCGGAAGGCACCCACGAUGCCGCUGGGGGUGAAGUCCCUCAUGGCCAGCCAGGUGGACAGCUGGCCCACCUUGACGUCCAGCAGCUUCAUGUCCUUCAGGGGAAC
Molecule: long non-coding RNA, 300 nt
Filed under: Gallus gallus (chicken)
Lineage: Eukaryota; Metazoa; Chordata; Aves; Galliformes; Phasianidae
Source: RNAcentral